GACGAACGCUGGCGGCGUGCCUAAUACAUGCAAGUAGAACGCUGAAGGAGGAGCUUGCUUCUCCGGAUGAGUUGCGAACGGGUGAGUAACGCGUAGGUAACCUGCCUGGUAGCGGGGGAUAACUAUUGGAAACGAUAGCUAAUACCGCAUAACAGUAGAUAUCGCAUGAUAUCUGCUUGAAAGGUGCAAUUGCAUCACUACCAGAUGGACCUGCGUUGUAUUAGCUAGUUGGUGAGGUAACGGCUCACCAAGGCGACGAUACAUAGCCGACCUGAGAGGGUGAUCGGCCACACUGGGACUGAGACACGGCCCAGACUCCUACGGGAGGCAGCAGUAGGGAAUCUUCGGCAAUGGACGGAAGUCUGACCGAGCAACGCCGCGUGAGUGAAGAAGGGUUUCGGAUCGUAAAGCUCUGUUGUAAGAGAAGAACGAGUGUGAGAGUGGAAAGUUCACACUGUGACGGUAGCUUACCAGAAAGGGACGGCUAACUACGUG
RNAcentral lists this ribosomal RNA (495 nucleotides) under uncultured bacterium. RNAcentral's name for it is "partial 16S ribosomal RNA". It matches the Rfam family "Bacterial small subunit ribosomal RNA", at positions 28 to 507 of the family's 1533-position model. The record is from RNAcentral.